UACGUAGGCAGCGAGCGUUGUUCGGAAUUACUGGGCGUAAAGAGUGUGUAGGCGGUGCUCCCAGUCUGUUGUGAAAUCCCCCGGCUUAACCGGGGAACGGGCGCCGAUACGACCGCCCUGGAGGGACGUAGGGGGACCUGGAACUUCCGGUGGAGCGGUGAAAUGCGUUGAGAUCGGAAGGAACGCCCGUGGCGAAAGCGAGGUCCUGGACGUUUUCUGACGCUGAGACGCGAAAGCCAGGGGAGCGAACGGG
Molecule: ribosomal RNA, 253 nt
Filed under: uncultured bacterium
Lineage: Bacteria
Description: partial 16S ribosomal RNA
Rfam family: Bacterial small subunit ribosomal RNA
Source: RNAcentral